GACGAACGCUGGCGGCGUGCCUAAUACAUGCAAGUAGAACGCACAGUUUAUACCGUAGCUUGCUACACCAUAGACUGUGAGUUGCGAACGGGUGAGUAACGCGUAGGUAACCUGCCUGGUAGCGGGGGAUAACUAUUGGAAACGAUAGCUAAUACCGCAUAAUAUUGAUUAUUGCAUGAUAAUUGAUUGAAAGAUGCUAUUGCAUCACUACCAGAUGGACCUGCGUUGUAUUAGCUAGUAGGUGAGGUAACGGCUCACCUAGGCGACGAUACAUAGCCGACCUGAGAGGGUGAGCGGCCACACUGGGACUGUGACACGGCCCAGACUCAUACGGGAGGCAGCAGUAGGGAAUCUUCGGCAAUGGACGAAAGUCUGACCGAGCAACGCCGCGUGAGUGAAGAAGGUUUUCGGAUCGUAAAGCUCUGUUGUAAGAGAAGAACGGGUGUGAGAGUGGAAAGUUCACACUGUGACGGUAUCUUACCAGAAAGGGACGGCUAACUACGUG
Molecule: ribosomal RNA, 505 nt
Filed under: uncultured bacterium
Lineage: Bacteria
Description: partial 16S ribosomal RNA
Rfam family: Bacterial small subunit ribosomal RNA
Source: RNAcentral